Gopherus flavomarginatus (Mexican gopher tortoise) is the source of this 540-nucleotide long non-coding RNA. RefSeq lists it as uncharacterized. Lineage: Eukaryota; Metazoa; Chordata; Testudines; Testudinidae. The record is from RefSeq and is a predicted model, not a curated record. The transcript has 3 exons.
UGAGGGCUUGUCUACAUCAGAAAGUUGCAGCGCUGGUGAGGGAGUUACAGCGCUGCAACUUUGAAGGUGUACACAUCUGCAGGGCAUCACCAGCGCUGCAACUCCCUGUUUGCAGCGCUGGCCGUACUCCCGUUUUGUCUCGGGUGUAGAGGAUCCAGCGCUGGUGAUCCAGCGCUGGUAAUCAAGUGUAGACACUUACCAGCGCUUUUCUUGACCUCCGUGGAAUAAGCAGGUAUCCCAGCAUACCUGAGGAAGCCUCUGGUAAUCAAGCAGGUCUCCUUCCCCGGUUUGCAGGGGGGUUCGGGGAACGCGAGAGCAAACCGCGGCGAAGCUGGUCUCCUUCCCCGGUUUGCUCUCGCGUUCCCCGAACCCCCCUUGAAGCCGCCCAACAGCGCUGCAGUGUGGCCACAUCUAACACCACUUGCAGCGCUGGUUGCUGUAAGUGUGGCCACUCUGCAGCGCUGGCCCUAUACAGCUGUACUAAUACAGCUGUAACAACCAGCGCUGCAAAAUUGUAGAUGUAGACAUACCCUCAGUUAU